GACGAACGCUGGCGGCGUGCUUAACACAUGCAAGUCGAACGGAAAGGCCCUGCUUGCCGGGUACUCGAGUGGCGAACGGGUGAGUAACACGUGGGUGAUCCGCCCUGCACUUCGGGAUAAGCCUGGGAAACUGGGUCUAAUACCGGAUAGGAGCCAUUUUUAGUGUGAUGGUUGGAAAGUUUUUUCGGUGUAGGAUGAGCUCGCGGCCUAUCAGCUUGUUGGUGGGGUAAUGGCCUACCAAGGCGGCGACGGGUAGCCGGCCUGAGAGGGUGGACGGCCACAUUGGGACUGAGAUACGGCCCAGACUCCUACGGGAGGCAGCAGUGGGGAAUAUUGCACAGUGGGCGCAAGCCUGAUGCAGCGACGCCGCGUGGGGGAUGACGGCCUUCGGGUUGUAAACUCCUUUCGCUAGGGACGAAGCUUUUUGUGACGGUACCUAGAGAAGAAGCACCGGCUAACUACGUG
RNAcentral lists this ribosomal RNA (465 nucleotides) under uncultured bacterium. RNAcentral describes it as "partial 16S ribosomal RNA". It matches the Rfam family "Bacterial small subunit ribosomal RNA", at positions 28 to 507 of the family's 1533-position model. The record is from RNAcentral.